Molecule: ribosomal RNA, 434 nt
Filed under: Arthrobacter agilis
Lineage: Bacteria; Bacillati; Actinomycetota; Actinomycetes; Micrococcales; Micrococcaceae
Description: bacterial SSU rRNA
Rfam family: Bacterial small subunit ribosomal RNA
Source: RNAcentral
UGGGGGGAUUAGUGGCGAACGGGUGAGUAACACGUGAGUAACCUGCCCUUGACUCUGGGAUAAGCCUGGGAAACCGGGUCUAAUACUGGAUACGACCUUCCCGCGCAUGCGGUGUUGGUGGAAAGCUUUUGCGGUUUUGGAUGGACUCGCGGCCUAUCAGCUUGUUGGUGGGGUAAUGGCCUACCAAGGCGACGACGGGUAGCCGGCCUGAGAGGGUGACCGGCCACACUGGGACUGAGACACGGCCCAGACUCCUACGGGAGGCAGCAGUGGGGAAUAUUGCACAAUGGGCGCAAGCCUGAUGCAGCGACGCCGCGUGAGGGAUGAAGGCCUUCGGGUUGUAAACCUCUUUCAGUAGGGAAGAAGCCGGUCUUUCGGGGUUGGUGACGGUACCUGCAGAAAAAGCGCCGGCUAACUACGUGCCAGCAGCCGCG